Non-coding RNA from Momordica charantia (bitter melon), 1072 nucleotides. NCBI's taxonomy places the organism in Eukaryota, Viridiplantae, Streptophyta, Magnoliopsida, Cucurbitales, Cucurbitaceae. The record is from RefSeq and is a predicted model, not a curated record.
GGAAAGGAAGAAAAAAUUGUAUCGAACUUCAGGGAAAGAUCGCGCACGACCUUCAAAGCUUUUCGCCAGUAAUCGCAAUCGGAAUCGCAACGGUAUCUUUCUUCUGCUAUCGGUUCCAUUCCGAUUUCGCACUCGAAUCUGAUCUCUCGUUAAGUGCCGUUCAUCUUCAAUUCGAGAAACUACUGCAUUUUCUUCAGUUUCUGAUGACAAGAUGGUUGAUCUUUAACAAGAAUCCAGGGUUUUCCAGUCAUUUUCGGAGGUUUGAUGUCAAUGAAGCUGAAGAAAGUGGACGAAUAUUUCGAAUGGAAGCUGAAUGAAUCGGUAUGUUCUCGGCCAUCGUGCUUGAUUGUUCUUGGAGACUCUAUCUGCUGCGUGAGUAAAUAUUUGUAAUUAGUUAUUUGUAUUAAGCAGCUGUGAAUGAUUAUUGGACAGGAGUAAUAUAAUUUCUCUUAUUCAUCUGAGUAACCAUCACUUCCACUGCACGAGUAAAUGGAUCCUUCAGUUUCAUGAAUUUAUUUCAUAGCCAGAUGAUUCAGCGUGAAAUUUAUAUAAGCUAUGGAAGUGUCCUGUUUGAUUGGAUAGAUAUUCGAAUUACGUAGUGACGUCAAUAGUUAUUCCAUUGCAGGGAUUCAUACUUUGAAAUUACGAUUUCCAGUUUUCCUCUCAUUUUGUUUUGUUUCUGUUUCUGGUGAUUGUCCACUUACACGGAGGAGCUACUCGCAUUUCAAUGAAUUGUCGUUCUCUUAGUCAUGAAUCCGGUUGAUGUAGAUUCUCAGUCUAAGAAGCUUCCGGAUGCGUUGAUUCUUGAUAGAGAUCGUCUCAAAUGAAUUCUUCGUCUGAAGAGAGAUUCAGCUGCCUGUUGUCUAUUUUAUUGUGUUUCAUCCGAGGGAGGCAGUCUCUCUGGCGCAUCAUAAUGCCUCUUCAUCUUUUUAGGUCAAUUUACGCGUACAUCGACUAAUCAUGAGAUAACUGUCCGAUUCUAUUAUAUUAAGCUCGGGUAGGUGGUCACCAUGGUUUGAAUCUAUUCCCUUUUUAAGUUCCUUACUAUUUACAUCGGUUCUUAUUGAUCACU